Molecule: ribosomal RNA, 465 nt
Filed under: uncultured Lactobacillus sp.
Lineage: Bacteria; Bacillati; Bacillota; Bacilli; Lactobacillales; Lactobacillaceae
Description: bacterial SSU rRNA
Rfam family: Bacterial small subunit ribosomal RNA
Source: RNAcentral
CCUACGGGUGGCAGCAGUAGGGAAUCUUCCACAAUGGACGCAAGUCUGAUGGAGCAACGCCGCGUGAGUGAAGAAGGUUUUCGGAUCGUAAAGCUCUGUUAUUGGUGAAGAAAGAUAGAGGUAGUAACUGGCCUUUAUUUGACGGUAAUCAACCAGAAAGUCACGGCUAACUACGUGCCAGCAGCCGCGGUAAUACGUAGGUGGCAAGCGUUGUCCGGAUUUAUUGGGCGUAAAGCGAGUGCAGGCGGUUCAAUAAGUCUAAUGUGAAAGCCUUCGGCUUAACCGGAGAAUUGCAUCGGAAACGGUUUAACUUGAGUGCAGAAGUGGAGAGUGGAUCUCCAUGUGUAGCGGUGGGAUGCGUAGAUAUAUGGAAGAACACCAGUGGCGAAGGCGGCUCUCUGGUCUGUAACUGACGCUGAGGCUCGAAAGCAUGGGUAGCGAACAGGAUUAGAUACCCUGGUAGUC